Molecule: long non-coding RNA, 504 nt
Filed under: Jatropha curcas
Lineage: Eukaryota; Viridiplantae; Streptophyta; Magnoliopsida; Malpighiales; Euphorbiaceae
Description: long non-coding RNA (JCUR_LNC000779)
Source: RNAcentral
GUUUGUGAGUGCUGGUGACAUGCCAUUUGUGUGACUGGCUGCGUGAGCAUAUAACUAGUCGGAUGACUAGAUUGAUAUGUUUACAUAUUUGUGUGACUGCGUGUGUUAUGGAAUAAUUAUCACUCCUUAGAAAACUCACAUGUCUUGUUUAAUUUUUCAGGAAGUAAGUUUGUCUUUAAUCCGGUUAAGCUAUGUUCCUUCGUCGCAGAGCUAGAAAGAAAAUUUUCCUAGACCAAUGAAUAUUUUGCUAUGUAUCUAGAUGUAUAAAAAUCUAUAUACAUCUAUUAGUUAGUGACUCCGCAGUUGUAGAAUUUGUAUACAAUUAGUCGUGUAUUAACAUAGACAAUAUAAUUAUGUGAGCCCAUAUAAAAAAAUGUGGUGUAUUGAAAAUUGGGCUCGAACUAUGGAAUGUUGAAGAUGAUAAAUUUGGACCGAGGUAUAAUAAAAUCGUGAAAUAUAUUUUUCAUAUAAAUAUGGGCUAAAUGUUUAAAAUUUAUAUUGAGA